RNAcentral lists this long non-coding RNA (512 nucleotides) under Nicotiana benthamiana. RNAcentral's name for it is "long non-coding RNA (NBEN_LNC041752)". The record is from RNAcentral. Lineage: Eukaryota; Viridiplantae; Streptophyta; Magnoliopsida; Solanales; Solanaceae.
CGCCACCUGACGAGAAGGAAAUACAUGACAGAGAAAAACAUGGUGAAAAAUAAACCAUUGGUUAGAUACAAUGGGAGUGGAAGGGCAUCAGAUGCUUUAGGAGAGGAAACUUGUUGGGUUUGUUUGUGGGGUUUGAGAAGUUCGCCGGCGGAAACGUCAUCUUUGGAAGAGUAAAAAGGCUUGACAGGUCGCCGGCGAACGUCCAUUGUUGAUUUUUCUAGAGGUUCGCCGGCGGAAACGUCAUCUUUGGAAGAGUAAAAAGGCUUGACAGGUCGCCGGCGAACGUCCAUUAUUGAUUUUUCCGGUAGGAACACCGGCGAAGAAGGAGAUAACGUGAGAAAAUGAGGAAUGAGAGAAAAGGAAAGAAGUAUUAAGCAGUGAUGGUAUGUAUGUGUGGAGAAGCGAAAGUUGAGGAAAUGUAUUUAUAGAGAAAAAGCAGUUAGCGCGCUAUUCUUUGGGGCCACGCACUCCGCGUGCUGUUCGCCCAUCUAGUAAGUGUUUUUUCUAUUUCU